RNAcentral lists this ribosomal RNA (437 nucleotides) under uncultured bacterium. RNAcentral describes it as "bacterial SSU rRNA". It matches the Rfam family "Bacterial small subunit ribosomal RNA", at positions 338 to 789 of the family's 1533-position model. The record is from RNAcentral.
CCUACGGGAGGCUGCAGUGGGGAAUAUUGGGCAAUGGGCGCAAGCCUGACCCAGCAAUGCCGCGUGAAGGAAGAAGGCCCUCGGGUUGUAAACUUCUUUUAUCAGGGACGAAGGAUGUGACGGUACCUGAUGAAUAAGCUCCGGCUAACUACGUGCCAGCAGCCGCGGUAAUACGUAGGGAGCAAGCGUUAUCCGGAUUUACUGGGUGUAAAGGGCGCGUAGGCGGGAUGGCAAGUCAGAUGUGAAAUCCAAGGGCUCAACCCUUGAACUGCAUUUGAAACUGUCGUUCUUGAGUACUGGAGAGGUUGACGGAAUUCCUAGUGUAGCGGUGAAAUGCGUAGAUAUUAGGAGGAACACCAGUGGCGAAGGCGGUCAACUGGACAGCAACUGACGCUGAGGCGCGAAAGCGUGGGGAGCAAACAGGAUUAGAUACCCGG